GUGAGGAAUAUUGGUCAAUGGGCGGAAGCCUGAACCAGCCAUCCCGCGUGGAGGAAGACGGCCCUAUGGGUUGUAAACUUCUUUUCAAGGGGAAGAAAGUUCGCGACGUGUCGCGAUUUGCCGGUACCUUUGGAAUAAGCAUCGGCUAACUCCGUGCCAGCAGCCGCGGUAAUACGGAGGAUGCGAGCGUUAUCCGGAUUUAAUGGGUUUAAAGGGUGCGUAGGCCGAUCGAUAAGUCAGCGGUGAAAUACCAUGGCCCAACCAUGGAACUGCCGUUGAGACUGUCGGUCUUGAAUAUGGUCAAGGUAGGCGGAAUGUGUAAUGUAGCGGUGAAAUGCGUAGAUAUUACACAGAACACCGAUUGCGAAGGCAGGUGGCUGUACCUUAAUCGACGCUGAUGCACGAAAGCAUGGGGAGCAAACAGGAUUAGAUACCCUAGUAGUCC
RNAcentral lists this ribosomal RNA (445 nucleotides) under uncultured bacterium. RNAcentral describes it as "partial 16S ribosomal RNA". It matches the Rfam family "Bacterial small subunit ribosomal RNA", at positions 354 to 796 of the family's 1533-position model. The record is from RNAcentral.